This 3506-nucleotide long non-coding RNA is filed under the name Fukomys damarensis (Damara mole-rat). Its description in RNAcentral is "lncRNA (ENSFDAG00000024317.1)". The record is from RNAcentral. Lineage: Eukaryota; Metazoa; Chordata; Mammalia; Rodentia; Bathyergidae.
AUGUUCGUCUUGAACUUCUGGAUUCAUGGACUAGGUGUGAGCCAGUGUCAAGCAGCAUCCUUGACCUUGGGGCAGUGUGCGGGAACCAUGUGGACCCAGUGUUGUCAGAUGGAACGAGGACGGGGUCGAUGCUGGGGUGAGCUGUUGCUGCCUGCUCACCUCGACUUGGGGCCUAUGCAGAUGUUAAUGCUCAUUCAGUGCUCACCACGAGGCUAUGGCUUAAGAACUGCUUCUCAUGCCUGUUUCAUAGAUGAAGAAACUGAUACACAGGGAAGAUGGUGCUGGAGGAAGGUGAGUUCAUCAGUGGGGUGGGAUGGAAGGAGAAAUGUCCUUUCACUGAGAGGACAGGGUGAGGAGAAAGGCAGAGGUCCCAAACACCUUGGGAGCGUGAGGGGGUGCAGAGCACUAGAAACCAGAUCUGCAGCUUCCUCCCAGGCAGAGGGUGUCUAGUAGGGCCGCAUGCAGCUGCACUGGAGGUUGAGGCAAAAGGAAAAGUCGGUCAUACUGACCCUGUCUUUAUUUCAAGUUUUAACAUUUUGUUCAUUUUAGAAUUCUCCUUUGAGUUUUUCUUUUUAAAAUUUGCAUUGAUUUUUUUUUUUUUAUCUUGACUACCAAAUUUAUUGGCAGCCACUGGGAUGUAUCAGACAGAAAACCUUCUUGGCCUUACUUCUGGUGCCUCCAGUUCCAGUCUGGGUCACUCCCUUGCCCCUUGGCCAGGGGAAGACAAGAACCCUGAUUUCUGCCCCAUGGAGAAGAGGCCAUGAAAACAGCCAUUCCGUAGGAAACCACGGGCUUUCAGGAAGAGAAAAGGGAUGGUGGACACCCAAAACCUAACCAGUGUUCACCACGAGUAGGUCUACUCUGGGUUGUCUGAAGAUUCUUGGGGCUGAGAAGAAAACCUUCAAGAGCUGAGGAUAGACAGCAGGCAGGGCAUAGGUCAGCACAUGCAAAACUCAGAGUCAGGCAGCUGAGAACACACAUUCCCAUGGGCUUCAUGCUGGCCCGGCCACCUACCAGCUGUGUGAUUUAUACUUAGAAACUUCAAGCACUGUGCUUCAGUUUCUUGGCUGUGGAAGAAGAAUGAUAAACGCAUGUUUCUCAUGAGGCUGUUACAAGGAUGAAGUGUGUCAAACCAUGAAAAAGUGCUUAAGAAUAAUAAAUAUUCAAUGUUUUUCUUUCUAAAAAUUGUAAAUUCUAUGGUUUUAAUGUGCCCACCCCCAGCAUCAUGUGUUGAUUAUUUAAUCUCCAGUGCAGCAGUCUUGAGAGGUAGCAACUAUAAGAGGUAUUAGGUCAUAAGAGAUCUUACCUAAAGGAUGGAUCAGUGCCAUUAUUGUGAGAGUGGAUUCCACAUGAACCUCAUUCUCUCUGUCUCUGACCCCACCCCCGUUUCUGCUUUUUGCCAUCUUAUGGCAUGGCACAAAAGCUCUCACCAAUGUGGGCCCCUUGAUUUUGGUCUUCCCACCCUCUAGAACUAUAAGAGACAAACUUCUAUACUUUAUAAAUUUCCCAGUCUUUGGUGAUUUGUUAGAGCCACACAAAACAGACUAACACAGUUGUAUUAGCAUUUUAAAAUUAUUAUUAUCUUUUAAACUACUGAGUAAUGAAGGUGAGGAAAAUAGGAUAGUAAUAUGGGGCUGAGAAGAAAGGCUUGUUUUUCUUUCUUUUUCACAGUUGGGAGAGGAAGAGAAAGGCCUAGUGGAGAGGACAGACAGAAAAACCUGGUAAACAAUGAAUCUCCACGUGAGUAGGGGAUCCCUGUUACACAGCCUAAGUUAAGCUCAUCAGUUCACAGAAGAGUUAAUGACUGGGUUAGGGUCACAGAUGUGGCCAGCAUGGUUGGCGUGGAGUCAAGGCCAUGAGAAUGUAAGACAGGAUAAGGCAUUUCCCAUCACACUAUUUAUUAUGAAAACCCCCUCCCAAAAGCUCUCUGAAAGGCCCCAGGAGAUGAGCACUCAGUGGAUUUCCUCCAGCACUGCUGAACAUCAGGGAAAAUGCUCUCCAACCCUAAGUUAUUAAUGUUAAAAUCUUCAUUUCCAGCCAUAAUGGGACUUUGUGAUAAAAGGGACAGACAAGCAGGUCAUUACAACCAUCAUUUAAGGAAGUAAAAUUAGCAUCUGUUUUGACUGAAGUUAAUAAGCUCUUCACCUUUUUCUCUGUGUGAGAGCCCAGGCAGCCUAGAGCAAGCCUUCUCUGACCUUUAGGGUGGGGUUGGCCCUUUCUCUGUGUCUUGCAGCUUCCUGGGUGGGAUUGGUACUUGUAGUGGAUUGACUAAUGGUCAACUUGUAAUGUACAGCUGGACUGAAUCAGCAUGGUCUGGGUGUGGAGGAUCCACCUGAAAAUUGUUACCUUUAGCCAUAAAAAGAGAACUGGGGAAGAAGAUCAUGGCCUGUUGAUUUUCUAGGAGAAGCUCGCUCCAGAUGGUUUUCCUGAUGCGAACUUGGCUGUUCUCAUUGGAGGAGGAGCUUGGGGACUUGCUGUCACUAGGAAUGCUUGCUGUUUUUGUCAGAGGAGCUCUGAUCUUCACCGUGAGCAUCACUUCCUGGCUUCAGUGUGGAUCCCUCAUCUUGGCGGCACAGAUCCUUCAUCUCGCCAGCGUAGAUUUUCUGGCUUCCACCACUGGCCUUUGGGCCUUCAUGGUGCAGAUCCUCAAUACGGACAAGCAGGAGACAUUGCCGUGUGCUCUAGGCCAUGGCUGGACUUGAGGAGGACACUGCCUUGGACUCGAAGCCUUUAUCUGGACUUGUGUGAGAAACUACUGGGGUCCAGGCCCUCAGCUGAAUGUUUUGGGCUUCUAGUGUGCAGUUAAUCUCUUGCACUCCUUUGCAUUUGACUCUUUGGGUAAUUAUCAUAAAGUAACCUUAUAAGUUAUUUGUCCUGUGUUUAAUGUAUUUCUUUGUCCAGUCCUGCUGACUACAACAGUACUGGUCAGCCGGUAUCUCAGGCCCCUGUAUCUCUUCGCUGUACCUCUGAGAACAGACUCUCAUUUAUUUGUGUGCUCCAGAGCCUGUCAGAAUGCCAGGCACGGUGCAUACCCAACCCAGGCCCCAGGAAUGAUUGUGCAUAGGCCUUACACACAUUGCCCUCGUCAGCUACUUGAAAAAACCUCCUUACUUCUGAGGUGAGCACGGCAAGGAGGAUUUUGGAGUGGACUUCUUCAGCUACUGUAUUGUCAGGGUGGCAGCAACCGUGUACUGAUACCAGUGAUGAUGACAUCGAUGAUGAAGAAUAGCUAGAGUUUGUCACAUGAUUAUGUGUGGCAGUGUUCUAAAAUGGCCCUUUCCAAUAAUUAUCUCAAAAUAAACCUAUGAGUAAGACUACUGACACAAACAUUUAACAGACAAGGAAACCAAGGCUCAAAAAAGUUGCACCCAGAGUAUCUGUUUUUGGUUCCAUUCACUCUUCAAUGUUAUUCUCAGCCUCUUUGACUGUAAACUGAGUUCCCGAGGCCAAAAUGAGGCAUGAAGUUUGUAGACUCCAAAUCUAAGAGACUUUUUGAUAUGUCUGAG